This 276-nucleotide long non-coding RNA is filed under the name Carica papaya (papaya). Its description in RNAcentral is "long non-coding RNA (CPAP_LNC002264)". Lineage: Eukaryota; Viridiplantae; Streptophyta; Magnoliopsida; Brassicales; Caricaceae. The record is from RNAcentral.
CGGCUCAUGCGGUAAGGAGCAACCAAAAUGGGCUGGGUGCCUGGUUGUAGGUCUAUAGUGAACUCAACUUUCCUGCCCACUGGUAGUCUAGGUAGUUCGUCCGGAAACACAUCUGAAAAGUCUCAGACUACCGAAAUCUCUUAGAUAUAAAUUUCCUUCUUGGGCUUUCCUAGUUAGAGAAAAUAACAAGGUUAAAGUACUUGAAAAUUAAGGAAACUUGCCAUCAAGGAAUAAGUACCAAAUUAUUUUAUUAAUUUGUAAAUGGCUCCUCAUUAG